RNAcentral lists this ribosomal RNA (498 nucleotides) under uncultured bacterium. Its description in RNAcentral is "partial 16S ribosomal RNA". It matches the Rfam family "Bacterial small subunit ribosomal RNA", at positions 30 to 523 of the family's 1533-position model. The record is from RNAcentral.
AUUGAACGCUGGCGGCAUGCCUUACACAUGCAAGUCGAACGGUAACAGGUCUUCGGAUGCUGACGAGUGGCGAACGGGUGAGUAAUACAUCGGAACGUGCCCGAUCGUGGGGGAUAACGGAGCGAAAGCUUUGCUAAUACCGCAUACGAUCUACGGAUGAAAGCAGGGGACCGCAAGGCCUUGCGCGGACGGAGCGGCCGAUGGCAGAUUAGGUAGUUGGUGGGAUAAAAGCUUACCAAGCCGACGAUCUGUAGCUGGUCUGAGAGGACGACCAGCCACACUGGGACUGAGACACGGCCCAGACUCCUACGGGAGGCAGCAGUGGGGAAUUUUGGAAAAUGGGCGAAAGCCUGAUCCAGCCAUGCCGCGUGAAGGAUGAAGGCCUUCGGGUUGUAAACUGCUUUUGUACGGAACGAAAAGACUCUUUCUAAUAAAGAGGGUCCAUGACGGUACCGUAAGAAUAAGCACCGGCUAACUACGUGCCAGCAGCCGCCGUAA